GGGAGUGUAGUUCAAUGGUAGAGCACUUGCCUAGAUGUGCAAGACCCUGGGUUCCAACCCCUAGUACUGCCA
RNAcentral lists this transfer RNA (72 nucleotides) under Ictidomys tridecemlineatus (thirteen-lined ground squirrel). RNAcentral describes it as "Spermophilus tridecemlineatus (thirteen-lined ground squirrel) tRNA". It matches the Rfam family "tRNA". Rfam says of the family: Transfer RNA (tRNA) molecules are approximately 80 nucleotides in length. The record is from Rfam by way of RNAcentral. Lineage: Eukaryota; Metazoa; Chordata; Mammalia; Rodentia; Sciuridae. RNAcentral also lists the same sequence under 1 other name.